AAGAAGAAGAAGACGACGCCGCCGCGUCACAUGGCGAAACCAGAGAUUCAAUACCAUGUGAGCUGUGUGGGUUGAGGGCUUCGCUGUAUUGCCU
Neltuma alba is the source of this 94-nucleotide long non-coding RNA. RefSeq lists it as uncharacterized. The transcript is spliced from 3 exons. NCBI's taxonomy places the organism in Eukaryota, Viridiplantae, Streptophyta, Magnoliopsida, Fabales, Fabaceae. The record is from RefSeq and is a predicted model, not a curated record.